This 309-nucleotide ribosomal RNA is filed under the name Smidtia japonica. Its description in RNAcentral is "partial 12S rRNA". The record is from RNAcentral. Lineage: Eukaryota; Metazoa; Arthropoda; Insecta; Diptera; Tachinidae.
UAAGGUAGUAAUAGUUAUGAUCUUGAAACUUAAAAAAUUUGGCGGUAUUUUAGUCUAUUCAGAGGAACCUGUUUUAUAAUCGAUAAUCCACGAUGGACCUCACUUAAUUUUAUUUAGUUUAUAUACCGUUGUUAUAAAAUAUUUUAUAAGAAUAAUAAUUUUUAUAAUUUUAAAAUAAGAAAAUAUAUCAGAUCAAGGUGUAGCUUAUAAUUAAGUAAUAAUGGGUUACAAUAAAUUUAUUUAAAUGAAUAUAAAUUUGAAAUAUUUAUUGAAGGUGGAUUUGAUAGUAAAAUUAUAAAGAUUAAUAAU